GCCUACGGGAGGCAGCAGUAGGGAAUCUUCCACAAUGGGCGAAAGCCUGAUGGAGCAACGCCGCGUGGGUGAAGAAGGUCUUCGGAUCGUAAAACCCUGUUGUUAGAGAAGAAGGUGCGUGAGAGUAACUGUUCACGUUUCGACGGUAUCUAACCAGAAAGCCACGGCUAUCUACGUGCCAGCAGCCGCGGUAAUACGUAGGUGGCAAGCGUUAUCCGGAUUUAUUGGGCGUAAAGGGAACGCAAGCGGUCUUUUAAGUCUGAUGUGAAAGCCUUCGGCUUAACCGGAGUAGUGCAUUGGAAACU
RNAcentral lists this ribosomal RNA (305 nucleotides) under uncultured bacterium. RNAcentral's name for it is "bacterial SSU rRNA". It matches the Rfam family "Bacterial small subunit ribosomal RNA", at positions 337 to 634 of the family's 1533-position model. The record is from RNAcentral.